CGCCUGUUUAACAAAAACAUGUCUCUUUGAGUAUUUUUAAUAGAGAGUUGGGCCUGCUCAGUGAAUAAUAUUAAACAGCUGCGGUAUUAUAACUGUACUAAGGUAGCAUAAUAAUUUGCCUUAUAAAUUGAGGCUAGAAUGAAUGGUUUGACGAAAAUUAUACUGUCUCUAGUUUAUUUAUUAGAAGUUAAUUUUUAUAGUGAAAAAGCUUAAAUAAUUUGAAGGGACGAGAAGACCCUAUUGAGCUUUAUAUUAUAUAUUAAAGUUAUAAUUGUAUUUAUUUAAUAUAAUUUUGGUUGGGGUGAUCAAGGAAUAAAAAUUAAUUUAUUAACUUCCUUAAUAGAAUUAAUAUAUAUAUAUUAAUAAACCAAUAAUUUUGCUUAGAAGAUAAGUUACCAUAGGGAUAACAGCGUAAUUUUUUUUGAAAGUUCUUAUUGAAAAAGGAGAUUGCGACCUCGAUGUUGGAUUAAAAUAACCUUAAGGUGUAGAGGCUUUAAUUGGUAAAUCUGUUCGAUUUUUAAAAUUUUACGUGAUCUGAGUUCAGACCGG
This 549-nucleotide ribosomal RNA is filed under the name Hapalochlaena fasciata. RNAcentral describes it as "partial large subunit ribosomal RNA". It matches the Rfam family "Bacterial large subunit ribosomal RNA", at positions 1797 to 2619 of the family's 2925-position model. Lineage: Eukaryota; Metazoa; Mollusca; Cephalopoda; Octopoda; Octopodidae. The record is from RNAcentral.